RNAcentral lists this ribosomal RNA (303 nucleotides) under uncultured bacterium. RNAcentral's name for it is "partial 16S ribosomal RNA". It matches the Rfam family "Bacterial small subunit ribosomal RNA", at positions 510 to 808 of the family's 1533-position model. The record is from RNAcentral.
AGCAGUAGCGCGGGAAUACGGAGGGUGCAAGCGUUAUCCGGAUUUAUUGGGUUUAAAGGGUCCGUAGGCGGAUCUGUAAGUCAGUGGUGAAAUCUCACAGCUUAACUGUGAAACUGCCAUUGAUACUGCAGGUCUUGAGUAAAUUUGAAGUGGCUGGAAUAAGUAGUGUAGCGGUGAAAUGCAUAGAUAUUACUUAGAACACCAAUUGCGAAGGCAGGUCACUAAGAUUUAACUGACGCUGAUGGACAAAAGCGUGGGGAGCGAACAGGAUUAGAGACCCCUGUAGUCCCUGUCUCUUAUACA